CGCAGCGCCAGCAAAGCGUUCCCCCUCUUCUUCCCUAAACCAAAUCCAUCCAAUCUCUCGACGAGCCGCCCCCACCCGCCGCCUCGGGCGGAGUUUCUUCCCGGGCAUGCGUCACUGUCGUGUCGCUGUCUUGCUCGGCCUCCUGACUUCGCCGGCGUUGGAGAAGUUAUCCGCCCCCGCUAGCCCAGUCCCCCUCACCAGUUGCUAGGGACCAGAAUUGGUAUAUACGAGCACUUCUGUGAAGAUGAUAUCAUCCUGCCCCAUCUGCAAUAUACAAGUUCUUACAGUUGAGCUGGAACAGCAUGCCAAUAGCCACUUUGAGGAUGAUGAUCAACUUCAAAGGGACAUGGAAUUGGCACAUCAGAUGGCACUUGCUGAAUCAAAUACAGAUAUCAUGAAUGGUCCUGAGCAUUGCACAGGAUCAUUCACCAGUGACUCUAAUGCUCAAGGGGCCUCAUCAAGUCAUAGUGAAUACUGGCAUCAUUAUGGCAAGGUACUGGAUGAACAGAUUUCUUGCUUGGUCAGAGCACAAAUUCCAAGUAAAGUUCAAGAAGUGGAAGGUGGAAUUAUGAACUUGUUGAUGAGCAGCUUGGAGUCAGAAGGUGGUUCUUCAACAAGUAUGAUAUCGGGCUAUAUUGACCAUCAUCAGAGUCUUUCAUCAGAAGAUAAGGGAUGGGGUUGUGGAUGGAGAAAUAUUCAGAUGAUGAGCUCUCAUCUGUUGAAGCAAAGACCAGAAGCUAGAGAAGUUUUAUUUGGUGGUUCUGGAUUUGUUCCUGACAUCCCAUCUCUCCAGAGGUGGCUUGAGAUUGCUUGGGACAAAAAUUUUGAUACCAUUGGCUCGAACCACUUCCAUAACAAAGUAUAUGGUGCCAAGAAAUGGAUAGGGACUACAGAAUGUGCUACCCUCUUCCGCUCUUUUGGCCUCCGUUCAAGGAUUGUAGAUUUUGAUAGCACCGAAUCAUCCGGCCUCCAAAACAAGAAUGGAAAACAUUCAGCAAAUCAAGUACGAGGGCCUAUGGACAUGUUCUUGAUAAAGAAUAAUCCUCCAAAAUCAUCUUCUGAACUUUGUCGAGAGGAUGCUGAAAUUAUGAGAGGCCGACAGGUCCUUGUUGACUGGGUUUGGAACUACUUCGCAAGCGAGCGCUCUGAUAGAUUUACCACACCUCGUGUCACUGUCAGUAAUAAAACCCCACUGUAUUUCCAACAUCAAGGCCAUUCAAGGACAAUAGUUGGGAUUCAAAAGAAAAAUGGUUAUCGCGGAUCUCAUGACCAAUAUACCCUUUUGAUUUUAGAUCCUGGCCAUAGAACAGCAGAUCUUGAAAGGACUCUCAGAAGCAAAAAAGGAUGGCAGAGCCUGGUGAAAAGAGGCGUCCACACCCUCAGGAAGCCACAGUAUCAGGUGUGUUAUGUGGAUUCUGGAAUUGCUAAUUCAGAAGAAAUGGAGCAACUCAAGACUAUUGACAGUAUACUGGUCAGGUUUUAAAUUACUGAGCUCUCUUCCCAGUUUGGGAAACAAGGACAAUGGACAUCUUAUACAUUUUCGAGCUCUCCAAUUGGUUGUGCAAUGUAUGCUGCCGAGAAGGCCUCUGAAGCAGGCUGACUGUUUGCCGACUGCAUCUGCCAGUUGAAGGUGGUCGCAUCUGCAUCUGUGCUGUAGAGUAAAUCAAACAACAGUUGGGUGAUGUUGUCUUCAGUGGGCAACUUAUGAGAGACCGUCAGAGUCACUUGUGUUGAAGUGGAGAAUCAAGCCUUUACACAUAUAUAAUAUGCUGCUUAAUGAACAUUAUUACACUUGGAUCCGAAAUGGUUAGGCUUUUGCGUUGCAUGUGAUGCUGCGCACUGAGCUCCGCUGACUAGAAUAUCAACAACUUGAGGACUGUGUUGUGCAUGAGUCGGAAUCUGGAAAUGGUUGAAGCUGCUUUCAGUGGCAGGACCAUGUUCCUUUUUUUU
This is an RNA transcript of Panicum virgatum (switchgrass), 1950 nucleotides long. It is a transcript of the gene named zinc finger-containing ubiquitin peptidase 1-like, with no coding region annotated. Lineage: Eukaryota; Viridiplantae; Streptophyta; Magnoliopsida; Poales; Poaceae. The record is from RefSeq and is a predicted model, not a curated record. The transcript is spliced from 9 exons.